RNAcentral lists this ribosomal RNA (465 nucleotides) under Vreelandella stevensii. RNAcentral describes it as "partial 16S ribosomal RNA". It matches the Rfam family "Bacterial small subunit ribosomal RNA", at positions 338 to 795 of the family's 1533-position model. Lineage: Bacteria; Pseudomonadati; Pseudomonadota; Gammaproteobacteria; Oceanospirillales; Halomonadaceae. The record is from RNAcentral.
CCUACGGGAGGCUGCAGUGGGGAAUAUUGGACAAUGGGCGAAAGCCUGAUCCAGCCAUGCCGCGUGUGUGAAGAAGGCCUUCGGGUUGUAAAGCACUUUCAGUGGGGAAGAAAGCCUUGGGGCUAAUACCCUCGAGGAAGGACAUCACCCACAGAAGAAGCACCGACUAACUCCGUGCCAGCAGCCGCGGUAAUACGGAGGGUGCGAGCGUUAAUCGGAAUUACUGGGCGUAAAGCGCGCGUAGGCGGUCUGAUAAGCCGGUUGUGAAAGCCCCGGGCUCAACCUGGGAACGGCAUCCGGAACUGUCAGGCUAGAGUGCAGGAGAGGAAGGUAGAAUUCCCGGUGUAGCGGUGAAAUGCGUAGAGAUCGGGAGGAAUACCAGUGGCGAAGGCGGCCUUCUGGACUGACACUGACGCUGAGGUGCGAAAGCGUGGGUAGCAAACAGGAUUAGAUACCCGAGUAGUC